UGUGUAAUACGUAAGGUGUUGAUUGCCUUAGCUUGUUUUACUGUAGAUUCUUUUUAAGGUUUGCCAGUAAGAAAUGAUGUUUUAAUAAUUCUGGCAAUCAUGUUAUCCUACUGUUAUUUAUUUUAGAGAAAACUUGUGUAUAACCAUGUGAGUGUUGAUCAAUUUGUGGGUAUCCACGUAAUAAUCACAAAGUUGUGCAUCACAGUAGUAACUGUGGUAUUGCUGCUGGCAAACAUUCAAGAGAUGAUGGUGUUUCUAACAGUGGUGUAGACUGGAGAAUACUGCAAGAAUCCAGGUAGAGUUGAUAGGUCCUGCGUUGACGAAACUGAGCAAGGUUAUUUGGAGGGUCCCGAGAGGAGAAGUAUGUCCAUAGUCACCUUUGUCAUAAUGUGUUUUUUGGGUUCCGGUCAAGAAAUCAUGGUAUGCCUCAUAAUGACCAUGAGCAGAACUUUGCUCGCAGCCAGGUUCAGGUUAAGACAUCAUGGGGAGUAUAUCCAUCGUGGUAAAUGAGGCACAUAGCAGGUAUGGAGGUAAGUGAUGAUGUGGGCCUGAAUCACAGCACAGAUCAUCUGAUUCUAUAUGCAGGUAAGGUAUUAUGGCCCUAACACUUCUUGUUACUAUGAUUUUGUUACAGGUGUUCAGGUAAGAGAUAGUCCUUACCAAAUCUAGUGACCUUGACUUUAUACGUUUCACAUUUUAGAGAUAAACGUUUAACCCUGUGAGUUUUGAGAGCUGAUUGUAUCCAUAACUGUUAAUUUCCCACCCCAGUAGUAACCACAGUGUAUUUGCAGGAAGUCUGCUUCAGACAUGAUGGCCUUCUUCUGAUGAAGGUGUUGACCUGAAUUGAUGCAAACGUCAAGGUAGAGUUGAUGUGCUCCAUAAUAAUGGAAGUGCAAAGGAUUGUCAGCAGGUGUCCUGGUAGAACAAGUCAUGUCCUUGAGCAUCUCUGUCCUAUGUGUCUCUUCAGUUUCUUCUGAAGAAAGUAUAGUCAGGGUGCCUGGGUGGCUCAGUUGGUUAGGCGACCGAUGUCAGCUCAGGUCAUGAUCUCACAUUUCGUGAGUUCGAGCCCUGCGUCGGACUCUGUGCUGACAGUUCAGAGCCUGGAGCCUGCUUCGGACUCUGUGUCUCCCUCUCUCUCUGCCCCUCCCCCACUUGUGCUCUGUCUCUCUCUCUCUCUCUCUGUCAAAAAUAAAUAAAACAUUAAAAAAAAUUUUUUUAAGUAAAAAAAAAUUUUUUUAAGAAACAUUAAUUUGACCCUAAUAAUACGAGUAAAAAUUAGAUUUUUAAUAUUCUUAUUUAGGGAUGAUGUAUAAUCCAAGUAACUUACUCUAUUACCGUCAUCAUUUUUAUCGACCUUGGAAAUUUUUUCAGGUGCCCGUUCAAGAGAAGUAGAUGUCUCUUCACAGGGUUUAUCCUUGGAGUUCUGCAAGUUAACGUCAAGACCUCACGGUGACUUUAUCAAUGAUAAUGAAUGUGGGACAUUGCUGGAAUGGAGGUAAGUGAUCCUGUGGGUCUAAACCACAGCACAUACCAUCCAGCUUUCAUACAUCGAGGUAAAUGCUGAGUGUCCUUACACUUCCUGUUACCAUGAAUUUUUUGAAGGUGUGCGGGUAAGAAAUGAUAGAGUCCUUACCAAUUCCAAAGACCCUGUUUCUCUGCUUUCUGUAUUUCAGGAAAUGUUCAUUUUUAACCCUCUGAGUGUUGAGGGACUGCACGUAUACAGGUAUUUAUCAUGAUAUUGCCCGUGAAAGUCCUACCCAUAGGCUAUUUGCAGGUGUCCAAUCAUAGAUUGAUGGUCUUAUCCGAUACUGGUAUUAACCUUGGAUUACUGUAAGUAUCCAGUAGAGUUGAUGUGUCUCAUGAUGAUGAAGUGAACACUGUUAUUUGCAGGUUUCCUGGUAGGAAAAAGCUAUGUCCUUCAACACACGCUCGUAAUGUCUUUCCAGCUUCCAGUCACGAAUUGAUGAAUCUAACAUUGCUCAUCAGUGGGGAUGUUCCUAGUGUGCAGGUAAGUGAUGACGUGGGCCUAGACCAGGCCAUCCGAUCUCCAUCUAGCUGGGUAAGUGAUGAAGGUUUCCCUAACAAUUGUUACCAUUUUUCUUUGCAAGUAUUCAGGUAGGAAAUAGUCCUUACCAAUUCUGGAAACCCUGAGUUUUUUCUUUUUAU
Long non-coding RNA from Acinonyx jubatus (cheetah), 2166 nucleotides. RefSeq lists it as uncharacterized. Lineage: Eukaryota; Metazoa; Chordata; Mammalia; Carnivora; Felidae. The record is from RefSeq and is a predicted model, not a curated record. The transcript is spliced from 3 exons.